GGGGCGGGACUUCCGGCUUCCCUGCUCCCACAAAAUGGUAGCCGCCGUGGGGGAUGUCCAGUUUUUUUUCCUCUUCCCAAGUACAGACGCAGAGCAGACUUGUCUUUCCGCUUAACCUCAACCUCGUGUGAUCUGCCAGUUUCGCUCCCGACGCCAAAUUCCAGCGAAACAGCUGAUGCCAGCCAGCUUGAAGACCCCUGCCACAGAAGAAGGGAAUCAGCAUGAGAAUACAGCUUCUUCAUCUCGCUGUCCCAUGACUUCGCCCUGUACUCUUCAGCCAAUUAAUGAUCUCCACACUUGGGACCACUCUAAAACCCUUAAGAACCUGAGACUCAAAGUCCUCCUGGAGACGAAUUUGAGGUUUCCUCCUAUCUGUGUUUGGUGGCCCUAUGAUUAAACCUCUUUCUCUUCUGCAACCUGGUGUCCCAGUGUAUUAACUUGCCAUGGGCAUCAGACAACAAACCUAUAUAUAGUAUCCCAAAUAUGGUGCUCCACUUUGAAACCUGAAGAAAUCCUGCAAUUGAGUUAGCCUUUUGAAAUAAAAAUUAUUUCAAAUUUUAAAA
RNAcentral lists this long non-coding RNA (563 nucleotides) under Homo sapiens (human). RNAcentral's name for it is "GPR155 divergent transcript (GPR155-DT)". Lineage: Eukaryota; Metazoa; Chordata; Mammalia; Primates; Hominidae. The record is from RNAcentral.